AGGAGAGAGGGACAACAGUAGGAGCAGGCAGAUCUUGCUGUUUCAACCAAAACCUCAUGCUGACCAGAGUUGAGGAACAGAAGAAGAUGGUGAAGGCCUGCAGGUAUAGGUGUUCAGCAUGUCAUCUGAAAUAUUCCCCACAGAGGCAAAAAGAAAGGAAAUUAUCUCUGAAAAGGAAUGGGAGGACAAGUCAGCAGAAUAUGUCAAUGUUUUGGUUGAAGAAGCUGCUUGAAUCUGGGCUUUUCUGUGCCAUGUGUUCUCCCAGGGCCAGCACAAAGAAGGGCUUUUGGUGCAGGCCCAAGACCACCAUAAUCAUCAUUGAUUAUUCCUCUCCACGCCAGUGUCUCUAAAUAAACUUUCUCUUCUUUCUCUGACAAAGGUGUUUUUGAGUGUUACUGUUUAGCUGAAGAGUGACGUUGAGUGACCUUAGUACCCUAGCCCUUCAUGUAAUCAGAUGGGUGUUGUAAGCAGAGGGAGAACCAUCAGAAAUGAAGAUGCUUGUUUUCCUAGAAACAAGCCCAGGUCAUCCAUCAUGAAGUCCAGGAAUUGUAAAUGUGAGGAAGUGCAAAGACACAACGUACACUUACAAAGGCAUAUGUGCAUUUGGAAUUCUUUAAAGGACAACAUCCUCGAGCUUCUCCUGGGCCUCAGCCAAAACGGAGACACAAAAUGCAUCAUGCUAACAUUGUUGUAUGUAUGUGUAUGACUACAUAAUAUUCUAUCAUUUUGUUUUAUAUAAUCUAUGAACCAACAUCUUAUAUUUACUGUAGUUCUAUUUUUAUUAAAACGUAUAUGAAAAUUUACAUUUUUAUUCAGUAUUGUUUGUGUUUUUUAUAUUUUCUUAGGAUACAGCUUAUAAAAGUGGAUUUAUAGGGUCAAAGGGGUUAGGUUUUUUCUAAAUUGCUUUUCAGAGAGGUUUCAUUGACCUGUAGUCCCAUCAGUA
RNAcentral lists this long non-coding RNA (943 nucleotides) under Homo sapiens (human). RNAcentral describes it as "HSALNT0308929". Lineage: Eukaryota; Metazoa; Chordata; Mammalia; Primates; Hominidae. The record is from RNAcentral.